AGAGGGAGAGAGAUGUAGAGAGGGAGAGAGAUGUAGAGAGGGAGAGAGAUGUAGAGAGAGAGAGAGAUGUAGAGGGAGAGAGAUGUAGAGAGGGGGAGAGAUGUAGAGGGAGAGAGAUGAUGUAGAGAGAUGUUUAGAGGGAGAGAGAUGAGGGAGAGAUGUAGAGGGAGAGAGAGAUGUAGAGAGAGAGAGAGGAUGUAGAGAGGGAGAGAUGUAGAGGGAGAGAUGAUGUAGAGAGGGAGAGAGAUGUAGAGGGAGAGAGAUGUAGAGGGAGAGAGAUAUGUAGAGAGGGAGAGAGAUGUAGAGAGGGAGAGAUGAUGUAGAGAGAGAGAUGUAGAGGGAGAGAGAUGUACAGAGAGAGAGAUGUAGAGGGAGAGAGAUGUAGAGGAGGAGAGAUGUAGAGAGGGAGAGAGAUGUAGAGAGGGAGAGAUGAUGUAGAGAGAGAGAUGUAGAGGGAGAGAGAUGUACAGAGAGAGAGAUGUAGAGGGAGAGAGAUGUAGAGGGAGAGAGAUGUAGAGAGGGAGAGAGAUGUAGAGAGGGAGAGAGAUGUAGAG
This is a long non-coding RNA of Oncorhynchus tshawytscha (Chinook salmon), 554 nucleotides long. Lineage: Eukaryota; Metazoa; Chordata; Actinopteri; Salmoniformes; Salmonidae. The record is from Ensembl.